This is an unclassified non-coding RNA of Pocillopora damicornis (cauliflower coral), 1525 nucleotides long. The record is from RefSeq and is a predicted model, not a curated record. NCBI's taxonomy places the organism in Eukaryota, Metazoa, Cnidaria, Anthozoa, Scleractinia, Pocilloporidae.
AAAAUAUUGCAAGGAGUUCUUGUUCAUCUGCAUGGCAUAAUCAAUUCAUGGAGGCUUGAGAAUGUAAGGUCACAUAUGCAUUAAUAUUGUCAGUAUUAGUUGAGGGGUUUUUCAUUAUCUUUUACAGCAGAAAUGUUUGUUUUGUUUAGGCGGUCCUGGAGAAACCACCAAGGAUCUUGAAAACGUGAAACAUGCAAUCCGUGAAAGUAAACGCGAGAGCAAGGGAGUUCCUACACGUGACAUAACAGAUGGAUUAAUUGAAGCUGUAUUAGACAUGGGCUUAAUCGUGUCCGAUAAUGAUGGAAAGGGAAAUUGUUUGUUCCAUGCUUUAUCAGAACAACUGGAAACUGUUAAAAAAAUCAAAAUUCCACAUGAUGAAUUAAGGAAAACCUUAGUUCAAUACCUCAAAGAGAACCCAGAAACGGUAGGUUUUGUUUGGUAUUUAUAAGUGCUAUUAAAAACUGUGUCAAUUGCUCGCUCAGUUACAUAAUCAAAUAUGACAUUUUUUAACCUUCUCCUGGAUUCACAGUGUUUCGUGUUUGUAUAUUUAAUGGGAAGGAUUAAACGUGAGACCAGCCGAGAAAAACUGUUUAAAAUCUUCUUUCCGAGAUACUUACUUUUCAGAAAAUUGUGUAGAAAAUAGGAGACAUUGUGGUAACAUGAAUUGGUUAUCAUUAUCAUCGAUAUUUUUUGGGUGCUUAGUUAUUCAUGACCGGCAAAGAGGCUCUUAUAUACAAACUUUGAAAUUUUCCUAGUACUGAACAAUAUACAACCAUGACGUGAAUUCUCUCUUUCCUGUUGGGCAGAUUACUAUAGUUUUCUCGUCCAUGUUGUUGAUUGUGUGAUUUGCUAACUUUUUAGUAGCAAUGAUUUCUGGCCUCUGGACUCUCCGUCAGGAAUUUGGUAUUUUUCAUCUUUUGCAAGCUCAAGUGAUCUCAGUCACACCAGGGAAGGAAGUGCUUAAUCUCAAACCAUGGCCACGCAGCCUUCUUUCCAUGGUUUGCGUAUUUAAGCGGAGGAACCUUCUCUAAGUUUUCUUCACUUUUUCAACACAGCCUGACUUUGCAUUCAAAGACACCAAUUUCACAUUCAGCUGCAUGGUUUAAAUUGUGCUCAGCUCUGCAAAUUUCUGAUCACUCAUGUAAUACGGUGUGAUGAAAGAUGGAGCUGAUCUGUACAGCAUGUUGGACGAAAACCAACGUACCCGUUUUGGCGGAUGGGAUGAGUACCUAACAGAUAUGGCAAAGGAUGGUAUUUGGGGUGAUGAAAUGAUACUCUUUGCAGCAGCAAACCACUUUAAAACCGUUAUUAAUGUAAUCAGUUCAUCACCUGGAAAAGAAAGACAGGAAAUCCCUGUUAGACCAGAAUGUAAAGUGGAAGAUGAAAAUCCAAUUUGGCUGGGGCACAUAUAUGACUGCCAUUUUGUCAGCCUUCUCAAAGGUACCACAUCUAUAAAGUUCAUUACAAUGCAUAUAGGUCUUUUGUAAGUGACUGGUGUCAUACCAAUUUGUUUCAGCCAUCAUAC